Molecule: long non-coding RNA, 828 nt
Filed under: Pogona vitticeps (central bearded dragon)
Lineage: Eukaryota; Metazoa; Chordata; Lepidosauria; Squamata; Agamidae
Description: lncRNA (ENSPVIG00000016462.1)
Source: RNAcentral
AAAGUUCAGACUUGACCAGCUAUUUAUUUAUUUUAUUUAUUGCCUUUCUCCUACAGCAUCCAUGGCGGCUGACAGUAUUAAAAGAAACAAAGUCAAAAACUAAAUAAUAAAUUAUUACAAUAUUUUAAAAAGCAUUAAAUAGAUAUAAUAUCAAAGCGCAUAAGAACAAUAUUGAAAGCACAAGUAAAACAGAGAAUAAAAUGAUCCGUUAGAAAAAAUCCCCGAGUUCUAUCAGUUAUUUAAAAGAAAGCCUGCUUGAAGUAGGACAAAGUGCCACAUUAGCCCCAUAAUAAUCACAAGUGCACCUGUCCCCAGCCCGCCUCUGCUCAGGCUUCCUUUCUCUUCAAGUGAAGCCAGGACUUGCAGCUGUAAAAGGCGGGCUUUUCAGCCACACACAGGCACUCCACCCCUACAGUCCCUCCCCCGUUUCUCUUUCACGUUCAGUUUUAUCUUCCCUUGGCUUCCUUUCUUCUUCAGAGACGAAUAUUUAACGCAGAAGCAAACUACUACUGCUGCUGUGAGGUUGGUUUGUUUUGAAAACUCAGGUGGUCUCUCCCUCAUGCAAGCCACAGAAGGGACUCUCCCAGAAGAGGUGGGGAAGGUUUUUGAAGAUGUUGAAGAUUACCUAGAAAUAUUGCAGACUGAGAACCUUAGUGCUAAAGCGAGGCUGCAAAAGGAUGAAAUCUUGUCUGAUAUUAAGCAACUUAAAGAAAGGGGUUCCAGCCAGAUUUUCUCCAACACAAGAUGGCUCUGAUGACAGCCAGACCAGGAGUUUCAUCCCAUCUGCAACAACAGGGGCAUUGCUUGCACACAACAACCUCGAAAAUG